RNAcentral lists this ribosomal RNA (490 nucleotides) under uncultured bacterium. Its description in RNAcentral is "bacterial SSU rRNA". It matches the Rfam family "Bacterial small subunit ribosomal RNA", at positions 903 to 1397 of the family's 1533-position model. The record is from RNAcentral.
AAAUGAAUAGACGGGGACCCGCACAAGCAGCGGAGCAUGUGGUUUAAUUCGAAGCAACGCGAAGAACCUUACCAGAACUUGACAUCCCUCUGACAGGCUUUUAAUCGAGCCCUUCUUCGGACAGAGGAGACAGGUGGUGCAUGGUUGUCGUCAGCUCGUGUCGUGAGAUGUUGGGUUAAGUCCCGCAACGAGCGCAACCCUUGUCAUUAGUUGCCAUCAUUAAGUUGGGCACUCUAAUGAGACUGCCGGGGAUAACUCGGAGGAAGGUGGGGAUGACGUCAAAUCAUCAUGCCCCUUAUGUUCUGGGCUACACACGUGCUACAAUGGUCGGUACAAAGAGACGCAAAAUCGUGAGGUGGAGCAAAUCUAGAAAACCGAUCCCAGUUCGGAUUGUAGGCUGCAACUCGCCUACAUGAAGUCGGAGUUGCUAGUAAUCGCAGAUCAGAAUGCUGCGGUGAAUGCGUUCCCGGGUCUUGUACACACCGCCCGU